This 460-nucleotide ribosomal RNA is filed under the name uncultured bacterium. RNAcentral describes it as "partial 16S ribosomal RNA". It matches the Rfam family "Bacterial small subunit ribosomal RNA", at positions 338 to 795 of the family's 1533-position model. The record is from RNAcentral.
CCUACGGGUGGCAGCAGUGAGGAAUAUUGGUCAAUGGACGAGAGUCUGAACCAGCCAAGUAGCGUGAAGGAUGACUGCCCUCUGGGUUGUAAACUUCUUUUAUAUGGGAAUAAAACGUUCCACGUGUGGGAUUUUGUAUGUACCAUAUGAAUAAGGCUCGGCUAACUCCGUGCCAGCAGCAGCGGUAAUACGGAGGGUCCGAGCGUUAUCCGGAUUUAUUGGGUUUAAAGGGAGCGUAGGUGGAUUGUUAAGUCAGUUGUGAAAGUUUGCGGCUCAACCUUAAAAUUGCAGUUGAAACUGGCAGUCUUGAGUACAGUAGAGGUGGGCGGAAUUCGUGGUGUAGCGGUGAAAUGCUUAGAUAUCACGAAGAACUCCGAUUGCGAAGGCAGUUCACUGGACUGCAACUGACACUGAGGCUCGAAAGUGUGGGUAUCAAACAGGAUUAGAUACCCCAGUAGUC